RNAcentral lists this ribosomal RNA (199 nucleotides) under uncultured Smithella sp. RNAcentral's name for it is "partial 16S ribosomal RNA". It matches the Rfam family "Bacterial small subunit ribosomal RNA", at positions 1185 to 1382 of the family's 1533-position model. The record is from RNAcentral. Lineage: Bacteria; Pseudomonadati; Thermodesulfobacteriota; Syntrophia; Syntrophales; Smithellaceae.
UCAAGUACCUCAUGGCCUUUAUGCUUAGGGCUACACACGUGCUACAAUGGGUGGUACAAAGAGAAGCCAACUCGCGAGAGCGCGCCAAUCUCAAAAAGCCAUCCUCAGUUCGGAUUGGAGUCUGCAACUCGACUCCAUGAAGUUGGAAUCGCUAGUAAUCGCGGAUCAGCAUGCCGCGGUGAAUACGUUCCCGGGCCUU